RNAcentral lists this ribosomal RNA (27 nucleotides) under Rubus crataegifolius. RNAcentral describes it as "partial 28S ribosomal RNA". Lineage: Eukaryota; Viridiplantae; Streptophyta; Magnoliopsida; Rosales; Rosaceae. RNAcentral also lists the same sequence under 1 other name. The record is from RNAcentral.
UGCUUUCAACGCGACCCCAGGUCAGGC